GACCAAAUCAUCAUCCGUCCCCUUAUCGACCGUGGGCUACACACGUGCUACAAUGGUUGGUACAACGAGUUGCGAGUCGGUGACGGCGAGCUAAUCUCUUAAAGCCAAUCUCAGUUCGGAUUGUAGGCUGCAACUCGCCUACAUGAAGUCGGAAUCGCUAGUAAUCGCGGAUCAGCACGCCGCGGUGAAUACGUUCCCGGGCCUU
Molecule: ribosomal RNA, 205 nt
Filed under: uncultured Streptococcus sp.
Lineage: Bacteria; Bacillati; Bacillota; Bacilli; Lactobacillales; Streptococcaceae
Description: partial 16S ribosomal RNA
Rfam family: Bacterial small subunit ribosomal RNA
Source: RNAcentral